CACGUAGGGGGCAAGCGUUGUCCGGAUUUAUUGGGCGUAAAGAGCUCGUAGGCGGCUCGGUAAGUCAGGUGUGAAACCUCCAGGCUCAACCUGGAGACGCCACCUGAUACUGCUGUGGCUAGAGUCCGGUAGGGGAGCGUGGAAUUCCUGGUGUAGCGGUGAAAUGCGCAGAUAUCAGGAGGAACACCAGCGGCGAAGGCGGCGCUCUGGGCCGGAACUGACGCUGAGGAGCGAAAGCGUGGGUAGCAAACAGG
RNAcentral lists this ribosomal RNA (254 nucleotides) under uncultured bacterium. Its description in RNAcentral is "partial 16S ribosomal RNA". It matches the Rfam family "Bacterial small subunit ribosomal RNA", at positions 524 to 776 of the family's 1533-position model. The record is from RNAcentral.